UGAGUAGGACGAGCGGUCGCGGGUGUCUACGUGGCGCCCGAGGAAAGUCCGAGCUCCUCGAGGCAGGGUGCUGGGUAACGCCCAGUGGAAGUGAUUCCAAGGAAAGUGCCACAGAAAAAAUACCGCCUAAGCCACGUGCGAGCGUGGACGGCAAGGGUGAAAAGGUGAGGUAAAAGCUCACCAGUACCGCUGGAGACGGUGGUAGCUUGGUAAACCCCACCCGGUGAAAGACCAAAUAGGAGAGGAGAAGACGCCUCGCUUCGUUUGACUCUCGGGUUGGUCGCUUGAGGUGCUUGGUAACAGGCAUCCCAGAUAAAUGACCGCUAACCCCUUUGGGGUACAGAACUCGGCUUACGGCCUGCUCAAUUC
RNAcentral lists this RNase P RNA (369 nucleotides) under Candidatus Krumholzibacteriia bacterium. Its description in RNAcentral is "RNase P RNA component class A". It matches the Rfam family "Bacterial RNase P class A". From Rfam's summary of the family: Ribonuclease P (RNase P) is a ubiquitous endoribonuclease, found in archaea, bacteria and eukarya as well as chloroplasts and mitochondria. Its best characterised activity is the generation of mature 5'-ends of tRNAs by cleaving the 5'-leader elements of precursor-tRNAs. Lineage: Bacteria; Candidatus Krumholzibacteriota; Candidatus Krumholzibacteriia. The record is from RNAcentral.